This 473-nucleotide ribosomal RNA is filed under the name Scardovia sp. oral taxon 195. RNAcentral's name for it is "bacterial SSU rRNA". It matches the Rfam family "Bacterial small subunit ribosomal RNA", at positions 28 to 499 of the family's 1533-position model. Lineage: Bacteria; Bacillati; Actinomycetota; Actinomycetes; Bifidobacteriales; Bifidobacteriaceae. The record is from RNAcentral.
GACGAACGCUGGCGGCGUGCUUAACACAUGCAAGUCGAACGGGAUCCCACUGGGCUUUUGUUUGGUGGUAGAGUGCGAACGGGUGAGUAAUGCGUGACUAACCUGCCGUAUGGUUGGGGAUAGCUCCUGGAAACGGGUGGUAAUACCCAAUGCUCCAGCUGGAUGCAUGUCUGGUUGGGAAAGCUUUUGUGCCAUAUGAUGGGGUCGCGUCCUAUCAGCUUGUUGGUGGGGUGAUGGCCUACCAAGGCGUCGACGGGUAGCCGGCCUAAGAGGGCGACCGGCCACAUUGGGACUGAGAUACGGCCCAGACUCCUACGGGAGGCAGCAGUGGGGAAUAUUGCACAAUGGGCGCAAGCCUGAUGCAGCGACGCCGCGUGCGGGAUGGAGGCCUUCGGGUUGUAAACCGCUUUUAUAGGGGGGCAAGCUAUGCCUGUGUGGUGUGGUGAGUGGACUUUAUGAAUAAGCACCGGCUA